CUCCAAUGAUGAUCCAGCCAUGCUAAUACUGAUACAUCCGGCAGUCUGCCGGGGUGUAAGUGAGUUCAGCUUAGCUUCUCACGCUGAUGGUAUCAGUGUGUGCUGAGGAGA
Small nucleolar RNA from Fundulus heteroclitus (mummichog), 111 nucleotides. The record is from Ensembl. Lineage: Eukaryota; Metazoa; Chordata; Actinopteri; Cyprinodontiformes; Fundulidae.